UUUCCGUAGGUGAACCUGCGGAAGGAUCAUUAUUGUAUAACCGAGGUGCGAGGGCCGUCGCUGACCCGAAAGGUCGUGCACGCCCGAGUGCCCUCACACACAUCCACCUCACCCCUAUGUGCACCACCGCGUGGGUCCCCCUUUGGCUUGUUCGGAGGGGGGCUUACGUUUUCACACAAACUUUGUAUGCAGUGUAGAAUGUAUUUUUUGUUUUUGCGAUCACGCAAUCAAUACAACUUUCAACAACGGAUCUCUUGGCUCUC
RNAcentral lists this unclassified non-coding RNA (263 nucleotides) under plant metagenome. RNAcentral describes it as "partial contains small subunit ribosomal RNA, internal transcribed spacer 1, and 5.8S ribosomal RNA". The record is from RNAcentral.